Zingiber officinale is the source of this 994-nucleotide long non-coding RNA. RefSeq lists it as uncharacterized. The record is from RefSeq and is a predicted model, not a curated record. The transcript is spliced from 3 exons. NCBI's taxonomy places the organism in Eukaryota, Viridiplantae, Streptophyta, Magnoliopsida, Zingiberales, Zingiberaceae.
AUGUAAAAUAUCGGAAAAAUGUCGAAUAAGGAUAAGUGAAUUUUUCAAAAUUUUUAGAAAUUUUUCGGAACUCGUAUGGACGAGUUUACGGGGAUGAAAACGGGGACAGGGAAAGCCUAUUCAGGUUACCCUAAUUUAACGAGGAAAUGUUCGAUUUUAUUUUUAUUUUCCUUUUUCCUUGUUUUCCUUAUUUCCUUCUCCCGAACUCACCUUCCUCCUCGCGCCGAGCCGCUGACCCUGUUGCCAAAACCGCCACACGACGGUUCCCUCUCAUCUUCCACUCCUUUAGCCGAUGCGACGCCGACCCCGAUCUGCCGGCAUCUCAGCCCUAGCGCUGGCCCUCCUACUCCUCUUCUGAGCGCCGACAGCCGAGCACCCCUCCUGUGCCUAGUUUUCGUGCCCUAGCCACUUUACGUCGUCAGUCACUCUGCCCUCACCCACUCAUCGGAGCGUCGCGCCGCCUUGAUUUGCCGAUCACCGCUCGCCUUGGCACCGCAACUCCAUUCGCGUGAGGCUAGGUCAUCACUGUCGAUUCCCUCAUCUGCCGGUGCUGAGAGCUGCUUGUGAGCCACCCGAACUUCCUUCCUUGUGUCGUGCCUUAGACCUCUACUGUCGCACCAUCGCCAUCUCUUGGGCGUCACCGUUGUGUCGCCGUAGCCAUCAGCCUUUCGGCAGAGCCACGCCCAGCCGAUCAGUCCAGCACCUCCUCAUUAUCAGAUCUUGGACCAGGGAGAUCCCACGCUUUCUCCUCCCACAGGAGCAUCUGCCCUAGUUUGGGACAGCACCACGUUGCCCUAUAUCGCCAGUGUCACCCUACCUUCUGCUUUGCUCAUGAUUUCAGCAGCGAUUUCUUCAGCCGGGUGUCUACAAAGGUGUCACUGGAAUUGGGUCUUUCAGGCAGCAGUUUCUCCUAGCUCUAGCCAUUGUUUACCAAAGGACUUUGAUUCGAGACGGUGUCUCGACGAGGGAUCUAUUUCGGAUUGGACCUUUCUAU